Molecule: long non-coding RNA, 1835 nt
Organism: Brassica rapa (field mustard)
Lineage: Eukaryota; Viridiplantae; Streptophyta; Magnoliopsida; Brassicales; Brassicaceae
Source: RefSeq, a predicted model, not a curated record
AAACAUUUUACAAACCCCGUUUCAAGCUCAAAAGGAAGAGGACCUUCAAAACCGGGAAGAAACUUGACGAUAGAGCCAGAAUCAACAUGCUGACUCCAGACAAAAAGAAGUAGAAGGAGAAACAGAAGCUUUAGCGUCAAACUCAUUCUUUUUAAAAUUCUAAAUAUUAAGUCUUUUUUGUUCAAAAAGUAUUGAGUCUUUUACGCGUUAAAAGGGCUCUAUAUAGAGGUAGCAACCAUUCGUCACUGUGAAUAAUGACAUAAAUGAGCAACAGUUUUAGUUCAUGUGGUCAGUGCAGCAGUUAAGAACUAAUAAUUCCUAAACAUUAUUUAAAAAGUGAUUUAUCAUAUGUUAUUAAUAUAAUAGUUUUAAAAAAUGAUAACAUAACAUACCAUGACAUAUUAAUAAUGGUGACAUAACUUAAAACAAAUUGACAUUUAUAUUCAAUGAUAUAUUUUCUUUAUUAUAAAUUGAUAAUAAAUCAUAGAUCAUCAUUAACAUAACAAUAAAUAAAAGAAUAGUAUAAAUCAAAAUAUAGUAAUAUUUUACAAAUUUGAAAUAUUAUUUACUUAUAUUUUUAUAAUUAUAUAACUUUUAUUACUAAAACUUUUUUUUUUAAUUUUAUGCAGUUUUCUUUUCAAAAUUUAUAACUUUUUUUUAUUUACUUUUUUUUAAUAUCGACAAAUAUUAAAAAUAUUAUUUAUUUUACGUUUUGAUAGUUAUAUACCUAAAAAAAUUCUCUUAAUUUUAUAGAAUUUGAUUUAUAUAUUUUAACCAGAAAUAGAUUAAAAUAAUUUCCAAAUGAUUAUAAUCUUAAAUCUAUAAAUAUGUUAUAAAUAUUAUUUGUUUAAAAAUAUUUAUUUUAUCCGAAUUUUUACAUAUAAUUAAAUUUAAAAUUAUAAAAAAAUAAUGAAAUCUAAAAUUAACAAGAUUUUAUUUUUAAGUAUAAUUUAAAUUUUAAAAAAUUUUAUUUCUGUAUACGAUAUAUAAAAACACCUAGUAUCCAAUUAUAAUAUAAAAAAGUAUCCGACUUCUGUAGCUCUUAUCAUUAGAAAUUAUUAGUGAGGGUCCCUUGUUAUUAGCACGUGUAAGCGAUUCAGAACAUUCUUGAUCGUUCUGUUCGUUCUUAUCCAAAUCCUAUCUCAAGAGGUGGGGGGGGAGGCACGUUCAUAGGUACUACGAGGUCACGUGUCCCCAACUACGUUUAUAAAUAUUUUGUGUUACUCAUUAAAAAUAUGGGUUCUUAGCUACCCAUUUUCUCCUAUUUCUUCCUUUUACUUUAUACCAGGUGAUUUUCCCGUAUUUAUGCACAUAUAAUAUUUUUAAAAUUAAUCAUUAUAAUAAUUUAUUUACAUUAUAAGAAUUUAUUAAUAUUUCAUUUUUAAUUUUUAAUUAUUCUGUUAUUUAUAUAAUAAAUAUGCAUGGUUUAUUUUAAAUAACAUUAUGUUAUUUUAAUAAGACGUAUAAUUUUGAAUAUAUAAUAUCACGACUGUUUGAUUAUUAUUUAGAUAUAUUAGACAACAUUUAAUUUUUCGAUUCAACUAAGAUAUUUUUGUUAUACAUAUUAAAAUUUUGAUUAGUUUUGUUAUUUUCAUGUAGUUUUAUUUUUAUCUUAGAUUUGUAUAUAUAUUUUUAGUCAGAUUAUGUAUGAUUUAAUAUAUGUUGUUUUGAGAAUCAAAUAAUAAAAAUAAACAAAAGUGUUGUUCGAUUUAAAGUUACAUAAGUAAAUAUAACAAUGAUACUUAAUUUAAUAGUUGGUUGAUAUAUUUAUAAUGUUAUUUGAGAUUUUCAUAUUUAUUUAGUAAUAUGUUGAAUCGUUCUAUAAUUUAUAUUUA